GGGGGCGAGUAGAGUGGCGCACGGGUGAGUAACACGUAGGUAAUCUACCUUCGGGUGGGGAAUAACCCAGGGAAACUUGGGCUAACACCGCAUAAUGCAGCGGCACCACAUGGUGACAGUUGUUAAAGCGGGGGAUUUUAGGACCUCGCGCCUGAAGAGGAGCCUGCGGCAGAUUAGCUAGUUGGUAAGGUAACGGCUUACCAAGGCGACGAUCUGUAACCGGCCUGAGAGGGCGGUCGGUCACACUGACACUGACAUACGGGUCAGACUCCUACGGGAGGCAGCAGUCGGGAAUUUUGGGCAAUGGGCGAAAGCCUGACCCAGCAACGCCGCGUGAAGGAUGAAAUCCCUCGGGAUGUAAACUUCGCAAGAUUGGGAAGAAUUAGUAGGGGUUAAUACCCCCUAUGAUGACGGUACCUUUUGUAAGCUCCGGCUAACUCCGUGCCAGCAGCCGCGGUAAUACGGGGGGAGCAAGCGUUGUUCGGAUUUACUGGGCGUAAAGGGCGCGUAGGCGGUCAGCACAAGUCAGUUGUGAAAUCUCCGGGCUUAACUCGGAAAGGUCAACUGAUACUGUGCGACUAGAGUGCAGAAGGGGCAACUGGAAUUCUCGGUGUAGCGGUGAAAUGCGUAGAUAUCGAGAGGAACACCUGCGGCGAAGGCGGGUUGCUGGGCUGACACUGACGCUGAGGCGCGAAAGCAGGGGAGCGAACGGGAUUAGAUACCCCGGUAGUCCUGGCCU
Molecule: ribosomal RNA, 739 nt
Filed under: uncultured bacterium
Lineage: Bacteria
Description: bacterial SSU rRNA
Rfam family: Bacterial small subunit ribosomal RNA
Source: RNAcentral